RNAcentral lists this ribosomal RNA (119 nucleotides) under Pteropus alecto (black flying fox). The record is from RNAcentral. RNAcentral also lists the same sequence under 1 other name. Lineage: Eukaryota; Metazoa; Chordata; Mammalia; Chiroptera; Pteropodidae.
GUCUACAACCAUGCCACCCUGAACACGCCCGAUCCCAUCUGAUCUUGGAAGCUAAGCAGGAUUGGGCCUGGUUAGUACUUGGAUGGGAGACCACCUAGGAAGACCAAGUGCUGUAGGCA